Molecule: long non-coding RNA, 604 nt
Organism: Anneissia japonica
Lineage: Eukaryota; Metazoa; Echinodermata; Crinoidea; Comatulida; Comatulidae
Exons: 2
Source: RefSeq, a predicted model, not a curated record
AGUUACCAAUGACCUGAGGGAAGAAAGAUCAACAGCAUUUAGGCAAGUCCACCGUUCUUCUGUAAAGGCACCCUGUAUGCAUAAUUAAAUACGAAACUUAAGCAAGUUUGUAAUGAAGAAGAUGUAGACAACGAUGAGGACGACAGCAAUAUUAUGUGAAUGCGUUUGAUUUGUAACACAUCCUCUAUAUUGUUUCCGAUACAACAUUCUACUUCGCAAAUGGUUCCAUUGUGACAGAACAGCUAUGAAUUUCCUUUGUCAAGGCUUGAUUCAGAGAGAGUGCAGCCAUCUGCUUUUCUCAAUAUCCAAGAUUUUUAAGUGUGCACUAUGGAGUUUUGUACACUAGGCCCCUUGUUUAUUUUUGAUAUUUCUUUGACAUUUUUAAAAUCAAUUGAACUUGCCAAAUACUGACUGAAAUAACUGUACUUACAGAAAUAGUAUAGAAUUGUCAGCACUUGACUCUAUCUUGAUUUUGAUUUAUUAUUUUUUUGGAUGUUGAUUAUUGUAUAUCCUUUUGUCCUAUAUUUAAAUGGGGCUUUUGCUAAUUUACAGUAUAAUACAGUACAGGACGCAUUAAACAUUAAAGGAUAAACACAUAACGCUA